RNAcentral lists this ribosomal RNA (229 nucleotides) under uncultured bacterium. Its description in RNAcentral is "partial 16S ribosomal RNA". It matches the Rfam family "Bacterial small subunit ribosomal RNA", at positions 568 to 796 of the family's 1533-position model. The record is from RNAcentral.
UGCGCAGGCGGGCUUGUAAGUCAGUGGUGAAAUCUCUCGGCUCAACCGGGAAACUGCCAUUGAUACUGUUAGUCUUGAGUUCGGUUGAGGUAGGCGGAAUGUGUAAUGUAGCGGUGAAAUGCUUAGAUAUUACACAGAACACCAAUUGCGUAGGCAGCUUACUAGACCGACACUGACGCUGAGGCACGAAAGCGUGGGGAGCGAACAGGAUUAGAUACCCUGGUAGUCC